Molecule: ribosomal RNA, 497 nt
Filed under: uncultured bacterium
Lineage: Bacteria
Description: partial 16S ribosomal RNA
Rfam family: Bacterial small subunit ribosomal RNA
Source: RNAcentral
GAUGAACGCUGGCGGCGUGCCUAAUACAUGCAAGUCGAGCGAACGGACGAGAAGCUUGCUUCUCUGAUGUUAGCGGCGGACGGGUGAGUAACACGUGGAUAACCUACCUAUAAGACUGGGAUAACUUCGGGAAACCGGAGCUAAUACCGGAUAAUAUUUUGAACCGCAUGGUUCAAAAGUGAAAGACGGUCUUGCUGUCACUUAUAGAUGGAUCCGCGCUGCAUUAGCUAGUUGGUAAGGUAACGGCUUACCAAGGCAACGAUGCAUAGCCGACCUGAGAGGGUGAUCGGCCACACUGGAACUGAGAGACGGUGCAGACUCCUACGGGAGGCGGCAGUAGGGAAACUUCCGCAAUGGGCGAAAGCCUGACGGAGCGACGCCGCGUGAGUGAUGAAGGUCUUCUGAUCGUAAAACUCUGUUAUUAGGGAAGAACAUAUGUGUAAGUAACUGUGCACAUCUUGACGGUACCUAAUCAGAGAGCCACGGCUAACUACGUG